UGAGCGGAAAGAGCCGUUAUCAGUAACUUCUCACACCUGAGUGUUAAAACGUACUUGAGUCAGUUCCUACCCUUUAAAAGUUAAAAUUCAUCUUGUUAUUUAAAAAGAGAGAAUGUAUACUAUUACAAACCGUGAUCGAAAAAGUUUCAUAAAGGAAUAUUCUAAUAGAACAGUUCUUCGGGAAGUUACUUUCCGUAGUGUAAAUAGUGAAGCAGGACUGUCUGUGAUGGGCGAUGAAGAGGGGCCAUAUUUGUUGCAUUUGUUGCAUGUAUAAAGUCGAGAUGUGCUUAAAAACGGAACAGUAUUGAAAAAACAGUUCUAAUGAAAAUAACAGUUUUCUGCAUACUCAUUUAAAAAUGCUUGGGGUAAUUGAAGUUUAAUUGUUGGAAGAACAAACUAGGAAUGCACAGAUCUUUGUGUAUUUUUGAAUAUAUUUGUCUUUAUUCUGCGGAGCCCUUGUGCUGUAAAGGUGAAGAACUGCGUAAAGACAAUGUUGGGGAGACUUACGUAGUACAUCUAAAAUCAAAGGUAACUUACAAGAUUAUAAUUAGUGUGGUUGCUGAUGAUUCUGAAUAAAUACAGCUUUUAUCACAGGUGUGCCAUUUUGAAGACUGAGACAAUAGUUUUACCUUUAAGAGUAAAGGAGAGCCCUUGGAAAAUUCUGUAUUUUAUAUAGCAAAAAUGUGGAUCCCAGAUGGAAUGAAAUUACCUAUACCAUAGACAUUUUUGAAGCAUUUACAUCCAGUCAACUUGAAGAGUUUCAAAUGGACCAUACCACUGAGAAAUCAAGAUGGCAGCCCACUAUGGGGAAUUGAGGAAAAUGGAUUAAUCCAGGAAUGCUGUGAUAUUAUACAACCAUCCCAGGGUUCUUUUAAUGUGGAUUCCAUGAAAUGAACUAUUCUUAUCCAACACAAAUGGACAGUGGGAUUUACUUUCUAAAGACUUGUUACAUAUCAUGUACAUUUUAACAUCUGGAGAAGAUGCUACAUUUAUUCAAAUGGUAGUUUGUAUUUCUGGAAUUUCUUACAAUUUUGAUCUGAGUGACCAUAUGGAAUGUUAACUUCAAUAAAAUCUCUAAAACUUAAA
Long non-coding RNA from Peromyscus eremicus (cactus mouse), 1086 nucleotides. RefSeq lists it as uncharacterized. The transcript has 5 exons. NCBI's taxonomy places the organism in Eukaryota, Metazoa, Chordata, Mammalia, Rodentia, Cricetidae. The record is from RefSeq and is a predicted model, not a curated record.